RNAcentral lists this ribosomal RNA (460 nucleotides) under uncultured bacterium. Its description in RNAcentral is "partial 16S ribosomal RNA". It matches the Rfam family "Bacterial small subunit ribosomal RNA", at positions 338 to 795 of the family's 1533-position model. The record is from RNAcentral.
CCUACGGGUGGCAGCAGUGAGGAAUAUUGGUCAAUGGACGAGAGUCUGAACCAGCCAAGUAGCGUGAAGGAUGACUGCCCUAUGGGUUGUAAACUUCUUUUAUACGGGAAUAAAAUGCUCCACGUGUGGGAUUUUGUAUGUACCAUAUGAAUAAGGAUCGGCUAAUUCCGUGCCAGCAGCCGCGGUAAUACGGAGGGCCCGAGCGUUAUCCGGAUUUAUUGGGCUUAAAGGGAGCGUAGGGGGGUGGUUAAGUCAGUGGGGAAAUCUCUGGGCUCAACCGUGCAAUUGCAGUUGAAACUGGAAGCCUGGAGUACAGUAGAGGUAGGCGGAAUUCGUGGUGUAGCGGUGAAAUGCAUAGAUAUCACGAGGAACGCCGAUUGCGAAGGCAGCUGGCUGGACUGCAACUGACGCUGAGGCUCGAAGGUGUGGGUAUCAAACAGGAUUAGAUACCCCAGUAGUC